This 273-nucleotide ribosomal RNA is filed under the name uncultured prokaryote. RNAcentral's name for it is "partial 16S ribosomal RNA". It matches the Rfam family "Bacterial small subunit ribosomal RNA", at positions 524 to 796 of the family's 1533-position model. The record is from RNAcentral.
UACGUAGGGUGCGAGCGUUGUCCGGAUUUAUUGGGCGUAAAGAGCUUGUAGGCGGUUAGUCGCGUCGUAAGUGCAAACUCAGGGCUUAACCCUGAGCCUGCUUUCGAUACGGGCUGACUAGAGGAAGGUAGGGGAGAAUGGAAUUCCCGGUGGAGCGGUGGAAUGCGCAGAUAUCGGGAGGAACACCAGUGGCGAAGGCGGUUCUCUGGACCUUUCCUGACGCUGAGAAGCGAAAGCGUGGGGAGCAAACAGGCUUAGAAACCCUGGUAGUCC